AAAUAGAGCCCACAAUAGAUUUUCCCCAAAAAGAAAGUGGUACUUUUUUUUUCAUUUUCCCGCUCCUCUUCCUUCCCCUUCUCUGCUUUUACUUCUGCCAUCGCCAUCUUCUUCCACCGCCGUCGCCGCUGCUUUCACCGCCGCCUUUGCUUCUUCCAUCGCCGCCUCUGCUUCUAAAGAAUGCAGUGUCGAGGUUAUUCCAUCUUGAGUCGCCGCCAUCCACCCACACAACCAGCUGCUUCGAGUUUCCCUAAUUUGAAGAAAUCGUUCAACGAUUCUGCUUAAUUCAAGUUUCCCAGGUGUUGGAUGCUCUUGAAAAUCUUCAUGCUGUUGAUGUUGACCAAAAAGCUUCAUGAUGCUGCUGAUGGGAUGGGAUGCUUCAUGAUACAAAAAUCAAUUUGCUGGCAAAGAGGUGCGUUUUCUCAGUCAUGACUUGCAUCAGUUUUGGAAUUGGGCUAACAAAACAGAUGGCAUUGAGACUAAUGAGUGUCUCGAAAACAAUGGUGGAUGCCGGCAGGGCACACAAGUUAACAUCACAGCCUACAAGGUAUUCAAUAUUCCGAGGGAGCGGCCUUUCACCUUUGAGGAGAUAGACGAAGUUCGAGAAAUGUUGGCAAACUUCAUUACCAGUGAUUGUCUUUGAUAUUUUCUUGUGCUGAAUCUUAAACUAUGGAUGCUAGCUAGUUUUUCAUAUGAUUGUAAUGUAAUCGACUUUUAUAUUUAAAAUUAUAUACUAUUUAAUUUAAUUAUCUAUAUAAUUAGAUACUUUUUAUAUGA
Spinacia oleracea (spinach) is the source of this 777-nucleotide long non-coding RNA. RefSeq lists it as uncharacterized. Lineage: Eukaryota; Viridiplantae; Streptophyta; Magnoliopsida; Caryophyllales; Amaranthaceae. The record is from RefSeq and is a predicted model, not a curated record. The transcript has 5 exons.